CAGUCGCCGCGGUAAUACGUAGGUGGCAAGCGUUGUCCGGAAUUAUUGGGCGUAAAGGGCUCGCAGGCGGUUUCUUAAGUCUGAUGUGAAAGCCCCCGGCUCAACUGGGGAGGGUCAUUGGAAACUGGGAAACUUGAGUGCAGAAGAGGAGAGUGGAAUUCCACGUGUAGCGGUGAAAUGCGUAGAGAUGUGGAGGAACACCAGUGGCGAAGGCGACUCUCUGGUCUGUAACUGACGCUGAGGAGCGAAAGCGUGGGGAGCGAACAGGAUUAGAUACCCCCGUAGUCCCUGUCUCUUAUAC
RNAcentral lists this ribosomal RNA (301 nucleotides) under uncultured bacterium. RNAcentral's name for it is "partial 16S ribosomal RNA". It matches the Rfam family "Bacterial small subunit ribosomal RNA", at positions 509 to 807 of the family's 1533-position model. The record is from RNAcentral.